Molecule: ribosomal RNA, 525 nt
Filed under: Escherichia coli
Lineage: Bacteria; Pseudomonadati; Pseudomonadota; Gammaproteobacteria; Enterobacterales; Enterobacteriaceae
Description: bacterial SSU rRNA
Rfam family: Bacterial small subunit ribosomal RNA
Source: RNAcentral
UGAGAAUGUGCCUUCGGGAACCGUGAGACAGGUGCUGCAUGGCUGUCGUCAGCUCGUGUUGUGAAAUGUUGGGUUAAGUCCCGCAACGAGCGCAACCCUUAUCCUUUGUUGCCAGCGGUCCGGCCGGGAACUCAAAGGAGACUGCCAGUGAUAAACUGGAGGAAGGUGGGGAUGACGUCAAGUCAUCAUGGCCCUUACGACCAGGGCUACACACGUGCUACAAUGGCGCAUACAAAGAGAAGCGACCUCGCGAGAGCAAGCGGACCUCAUAAAGUGCGUCGUAGUCCGGAUUGGAGUCUGCAACUCGACUCCAUGAAGUCGGAAUCGCUAGUAAUCGUGGAUCAGAAUGCCACGGUGAAUACGUUCCCGGGCCUUGUACACACCGCCCGUCACACCAUGGGAGUGGGUUGCAAAAGAAGUAGGUAGCUUAACCUUCGGGAGGGCGCUUACCACUUUGUGAUUCAUGACUGGGGUGAAGUCGUAACAAGGUAACCGUAGGGGAACCUGCGGUUGGAUCACCUCCUU